AUUGAACGCUGGCGGCAUGCUUUACACAUGCAAGUCGAGCGGCAGCGCGGGGGCAACCCUGGCGGCGAGCGGCGAACGGGUGAGUAAUGCAUCGGAACGUAUCCUCGAGUGGGGGAUAACCCAGCGAAAGUUGGGCUAAUACCGCAUGAGCUCUGAGGAGGAAAGCGGGGGACCUGCGAGGGCCUCGCGCUGGAGGAGCGGCCGAUGUCCGAUUAGCUAGUUGGUGGGGUAAAGGCUUACCAAGGCGACGAUCGGUAGCUGGUCUGAGAGGAUGAUCAGCCACACUUGGACUGAGACACGGCCCAGACUCCUACGGGAGGCAGCAGUGGGGAAUUUUGGACAAUGGGGGCAACCCUGAUCCAGCCAUGCCGCGUGAGUGAAGAAGGCCUUCGGGUUGUAAAGCUCUUUCGGACGGAACGAAAUGGGCGGGACUAAUACUCCUGUCUGAUGACGGUACCGUAAGAAGAAGCACCGGCUAACUACGUG
Molecule: ribosomal RNA, 486 nt
Filed under: uncultured bacterium
Lineage: Bacteria
Description: partial 16S ribosomal RNA
Rfam family: Bacterial small subunit ribosomal RNA
Source: RNAcentral